RNAcentral lists this ribosomal RNA (230 nucleotides) under uncultured bacterium. RNAcentral's name for it is "partial 16S ribosomal RNA". It matches the Rfam family "Bacterial small subunit ribosomal RNA", at positions 524 to 753 of the family's 1533-position model. The record is from RNAcentral.
UACGAGGGGGGCAAGCGUUGUUCGGAAUUAUUGGGCGUAAAGGGUGCGUAGGUGGUUCGGCAAGUCUUGUGUGAAAUCUUCAGGCUCAACUUGAAGUCUGCACAAGAAACUGCCGGGCUUGAGUAUGGGAGAGGUGAGUGGAAUUUCCGGUGUAGCGGUGAAAUGCGUAGAUAUCGGAAGGAACACCUGUGGCGAAAGCGGCUCACUGGACCAUUACUGACACUGAGGCA